AUGCCUAGAAGAUUUGGUUUUCAUUCAUCAGAAACUGCUGAAGAUGUGAUGAUGUUAAGAUUUCUGAUAUUUCCUUUGUGGUUCCCAUCUUCUGCAAAACCAUGUAGACAGCCCUGGUCAACCAGCUACAUUAUUCAGAUGUACUGUGUUAUCCUUAACAUAGACCACAUGUAUUUUUCUUCCAGCUGCGAUCUGUUCGCCCUGUUCUUCAGAGAUAGAACUAGCAUGUUUCUUCUGUUUCCAAUGACAAAAAGUCUGAAUCGGCAAAAAAAAGAAAAUACCGCAGAUGGUACAAUUUUAACUAGGGAUUUUUUUGGCGGGAAACUAGGGAUUUUUUCAAAUUGCCGCAACGUUGAACCCGAUGCCACCAUAUACGGAUGA
Molecule: ribosomal RNA, 381 nt
Filed under: Triticum aestivum (bread wheat)
Lineage: Eukaryota; Viridiplantae; Streptophyta; Magnoliopsida; Poales; Poaceae
Description: partial small subunit ribosomal RNA
Source: RNAcentral